UUAAUAGCACAAUACUAUAGCGUUUUGUUCACAAAUGCUAUUAUAAGUUAUAGGACGAGUUUAAGAUAGCGUUUGUAGUUUUGGAAACGCUAUUAAUACUCUUAACAGAUAAAAAUAUAAACAUGCGCCUAAUAAUUUGGGUUUCUAAGUAUUUAUAGCAUAGUUUUUAAUAGCAGAAUUAUCAGGAAACGCUAUUAAAAGUGAACCGGGAAAACCUAAAAAUAAUUGGCCUUGAACCGAAACUAAAUUUCCUUUUCCCUCUGAAAGUCUCGAUAUUUUCUUAAGUAUAGCUCAGAGAACUCAAAACAAGCUCUCUUACAUUGUCUCGCUCGAUUCACUCUCUCACUCUCUCACUCGAUUCAAUCUCUCACUCGAUUCAAGCUCUCUUACAAUCUCUCAUAUCAUUCGAUUCAAGCUCUUUGUGUUUACGGGAUCUACUCGAUUGGUGUUGCAUCUCUCUAACUAUAAACGGAAGAUUUCGGCUUAUUUUGUCACGGUCAAAGAGAGCUUACUAUACAAUCUCCUU
This is a long non-coding RNA of Arabidopsis lyrata subsp. lyrata, 526 nucleotides long. RefSeq lists it as uncharacterized. The transcript has 3 exons. Lineage: Eukaryota; Viridiplantae; Streptophyta; Magnoliopsida; Brassicales; Brassicaceae. The record is from RefSeq and is a predicted model, not a curated record.